This 348-nucleotide unclassified non-coding RNA is filed under the name soil metagenome. RNAcentral describes it as "partial contains 5.8S ribosomal RNA, internal transcribed spacer 2, and large subunit ribosomal RNA". The stretch from base 1 to 120 matches the Rfam family "5.8S ribosomal RNA", at positions 35 to 154 of the family's 154-position model. The record is from RNAcentral.
GAUGAAGAACGUAGCGAAAUGCGAUAAGUAAUGUGAAUUGCAGAAUUCAGUGAAUCAUCGAAUCUUUGAACGCACAUUGCGCCCGCCAGUAUUCUGGCGGGCAUGCCUGUCUGAGCGUCAUUUCAACCCUCAUGCCCCUAGGGCGUGGUGUUGGGGAUCGGCCAAAGCCCGCGAGGGACGGCCGGCCCCUAAAUCUAGUGGCGGACCCGUCGUGGCCUCCUCUGCGAAGUAGUGAUAUUCCACAUCGGAGAGCGAUGAGCCCCUGCCGUUAAACCCCCAACUUUCCAAGGUUGACCUCAGAUCAGGUAGGAAUACCCGCUGAACUUAAGCAUAUCAAUAAGCGGAGGA